AGCACUUCGGUGCGAGUACAGCGGCGGACGGGUGAGUAACGCGUAGGAAUCUACCUAGUAGUGGGGGACAACAUGUGGAAACGCAUGCUAAUACCGCAUACGCCCUAAGGGGGAAAGCAGGGGAUCUUCGGACCUUGCGCUAUUGGAUGAGCCUGCGUCAGAUUAGCUAGUUGGUGGGGUAAUGGCCUACCAAGGCAACGAUCUGUAGCUGGUCUGAGAGGAUGAUCAGCCACACUGGGACUGAGACACGGCCCAGACUCCUACGGGAGGCAGCAGUGGGGAAUAUUGGACAAUGGGCGAAAGCCUGAUCCAGCCAUGCCGCGUGUGUGAAGAAGGCUCUAGGGUUGUAAAGCACUUUCAGUAGGGAGGAAAAGUUAGUAGUUAAUAUCUGCUAACCCUGACGUUACCUACAGAAGAAGCACCGGCAAACUCCGUGCCAGCAGCCGCGGUAAUACGGAGGGUGCGAGCGUUAAUCGGAAUUACUGGGCGUAAAGCGCGCGUAGGCGGUUUGAUAAGCUGAAUGUGAAAGCCCUGGGCUCAACCUGGGAACUGCAUCCAGAACUGUCUGACUAGAGUACAGUAGAGGUGAGUGGAAUUUCCUGUGUAGCGGUGAAAUGCGUAGAUAUAGGAAGGAACAUCAGUGGCGAAG
Molecule: ribosomal RNA, 649 nt
Filed under: uncultured bacterium
Lineage: Bacteria
Description: bacterial SSU rRNA
Rfam family: Bacterial small subunit ribosomal RNA
Source: RNAcentral